CUUUUUUUUUUAAACUAAGCUUUAGUUCUAAGGAGUGUGAAUUAAAAAAUGAAGAGUUACUAUUGACUGCAUGACUUCUGUUUUCUGUUUUUUUAUAUUAGGUGCUAAUCAAGUUCCAGCUAAUUCCUCUCAUCAGUUUGCCAAAUCAUAACCUAAAAAUAUAUUCUGAACAAAGUGACCAAAAUAAAACAUGGAGAAUGAAAUGUAUGCUUAGAAAAAAUAGGAGGAGGCAUCUACUUCUUGAUUUGAAAACAUACAUUGACUUCCAUGAACACAGAAGAGAAUGAUAAGUGCCUAAGGACCAGCUUUCUGGGAAAAUGGACAAGGUACCAAGUACAAGACAAUGCAUGUGCUUAAUAAACGCUUGUAGGACUGAACUAAACUGAACUGA
RNAcentral lists this long non-coding RNA (391 nucleotides) under Monodelphis domestica (gray short-tailed opossum). RNAcentral's name for it is "lncRNA (ENSMODG00000041438.1)". The record is from RNAcentral. Lineage: Eukaryota; Metazoa; Chordata; Mammalia; Didelphimorphia; Didelphidae.